UUGUCCUACGGGAGGCAGCAGUGGGGGAUAUUGCACAAUGGGGGGAACCCUGAUGCAGCGACGCCGCGUGGGUGAAGAAGCGCCUCGGCGCGUAAAGCCCUGUCAGCAGGGAAGAAAAUGACGGUACCUGAAGAAGAAGCCCCGGCUAACUACGUGCCAGCAGCCGCGGUAAUACGUAGGGGGCAAGCGUUAUCCGGAUUUACUGGGUGUAAAGGGCGUGUAGGCGGGAGUGCAAGUCAGAUGUGAAAACUAUGGGCUCAACCCAUAGCCUGCAUUUGAAACUGUACUUCUUGAGUGCUGGAGAG
RNAcentral lists this ribosomal RNA (305 nucleotides) under uncultured bacterium. RNAcentral's name for it is "bacterial SSU rRNA". It matches the Rfam family "Bacterial small subunit ribosomal RNA", at positions 334 to 656 of the family's 1533-position model. The record is from RNAcentral.